AAUAAAUUCUUAUUUUUAUUAUUUUAUUUUAGCCCUAUCAUUAUUUACUAUUACUAUACUAAAAAUCCUUUUUCUCUUUUUCAGCUUCGAUUUACUACCACCGGGGGCACUCAAAAUGAGGAAUUUCGUUAAAAAAAAAAAUGGUCAUGAUUGCAUCGGAUGGAGAAGUUCCCCAGGCGUCCGUAACAACAUUUGGCUUUGCUCGAUUUCAUCCCUCUUCGAAAGAGGGCAUUAGCUUUUUUAAAAGCAAUCAGGUUUAUUGUGGUUGGGUGUUUUUUGAAGAUUUGCCAAGUUUUCAUUUUCUGUUCCCUUAGGGCUUUUAAAGUAGGGCUCCACCAUGGGACUUGUUUUUUUGUUGUUAUUGGAUGACUUUGAAGUAUUGAGUGGUUGGCGGCAUAUCGAAUGCCUUUUUGAAACAAGGCGGCUUCUUUAUUGACAUUAGUUGAUAAGUCCUUGUUUAAGAACCAACUCUCGACGCUUGAUUGAAAUUUGUUCCAGUCCGCCAAGUCCGUUUUGAAUUUAGGAUUUAUGUGUUAUUGGUAAAGAUGCAAAAGCACAAUGUGUCUCCUGAAGAGAUAUGGCACAUGGCGAUUGAUCUUUAAUUAAUAUACUAAGCUCAUAGAAAUUGUUAAUAUAGCCUUGUAUAUUCCAUUGGAGAGCUUUGAAUGAAUAGUAAGAUUGGGGGUAGUUAGAGUUUGGUGUGUUGUUAAUAUUUAUGUGACUCCGCUGCCCUGGGGCUGGACCAUCAGAGUCCCUGGAGGGACUCAGAUGGUUCAAUCCCAGACCAGCAGAGUCUUGUUUUGGAAAAAUUUUAUUGCUGUUUUUAAAUGUCGGUUAUGGAGGGUUUUACGGCUAUGGAGGGUUUUACGAAAUGGUUUUUUGUUGGUGCAGGUAUCAUGUGUAAAGAGGGAUUGUCGUUAAAAAUUUGCCAAGCUUCACGUACUGUACAACGCCGCGUAGAUUUAAUUUUAUUAACUGACUUGUGUCGCAGAAAAGAGGGGCAGGCAGGAUGAGGAUCGUAGGAAGUAUGGGAUUCAUCCUUACAGUUAACACUAUAAACUCUAGUACAGGCGUGUCAAACUCAAUGGCUUUCACGGGCCAAAAUAGCAGGGUCUACAUUUCUAUGGGCCGCAAAAAAAAAGAAACAGUUAGAAUUUGUAUGAAAUAGAUUUAUUAUUACGAACAAGAACAAUAAAUGUAGUAAUAUUAAUGUUUUCUGCCUGACACUUUGCAUCUCUUUUCUUCUAAUAUCUUCUCUACUUGUGGUGAAAAUUUAGUAGAAGUUAUUUCUUUUAAAAUAGACCCCAGGUUUAGAUCUGUUAUUCUGGAUCUAACAGGUGACUUAUUUCAAGUGAAAACAGCUGCUCGCAUCGAUAAGUGCUUCCAAACAUACAAAUGAUUUCAUAUGUCAAUUUUCUAUUUAAACAAAGUGAAAAAAUAAUGAAAAUUAUUUUCUAUUUAUUUAAAAUCUGCUAUUAGAUACUUGUAAAAUUCAGGCAUCCCAACUUCGUCGAAUUUAGAUCUUAAAACGGAGUGACACUGAAUUUCGAUUACCUCGUACCUACAUUUGCAAGUGAUUAGGUACUGAUUCUAUAUUUAUAAAUCCGUCUCAAAAAGAGAUUUAAAAAUGACCGAUUUUUUGGGAAAAAUUAGCGACUUUUUUUCAUUGGAAUUUAUUUAAGGAAAAGUAGCGACUGCAAGUCGACUUCAGAUCAAAUUUUUGGUUGUUUGGAAUUAUAUCUUAUAUAUAUAUAUAUAUAUAUCUUUUUUU
Long non-coding RNA from Episyrphus balteatus (marmalade hoverfly), 1771 nucleotides. RefSeq lists it as uncharacterized. NCBI's taxonomy places the organism in Eukaryota, Metazoa, Arthropoda, Insecta, Diptera, Syrphidae. The transcript is spliced from 2 exons. The record is from RefSeq and is a predicted model, not a curated record.